Molecule: RNA transcript, 1781 nt
Organism: Nomascus leucogenys (northern white-cheeked gibbon)
Lineage: Eukaryota; Metazoa; Chordata; Mammalia; Primates; Hylobatidae
Gene name: telomeric repeat-binding factor 1 pseudogene
Exons: 1
Source: RefSeq, a predicted model, not a curated record
AAAAAAAAAAAAAGUAAAGGAAGGUAUGAUGACAAUGUCACACAAAGUAGUGAAUACCAAUAAAAAGGAACUAUUAAAUAGAACCAAAUGAAAAUUCUGGAGUUGAAAAGUACAAUAACUAAAAUUUAAAAAUUUAUUGGAAGCACUCAAUAGUAGAUUUGAACUGGCAGAAGAAACAAGAAGUAAACUUGAAGAUAGAACAAUAGAGAUUAUGUUCAAAGGAACAGAAAGCAUAAAGAAUAAAGAAAAACAAAGACAGUCUUGGGCCCCGAGCCCACGGGGCUGUGCGGAUGGUAGGGAUGCCGACCCUACCAAGGAGCAGAUGGCAGAAACAGAGAGAAACGACGAGGAGCAGUUCGAAUGCCAGGAACUGCUCUAGUGCCAGGUACAGGUGGGGGCCCCCGAGGAGGAGGAGGAGGAGGACUUGGGCCUGGUGGCCGAGGCCGAGGCCGUGGCUGCCGGCUGGAUGCUCGAUUUCCUCUGCCUCUCUCUUUGCCGAGCUUUCCGCAACGGCCGCUCCAAGGACUUCCGUAGGACCCGCAACAGCACAGAGGCUAUUAUUCAUGGACUAUCCAGUCUAACAGCUUACCAGUUGAGAAUGAUAUACAUAUGUCAGUUUUUGACAAGAAUUGCAGCAGGAAAAGCCCUUGAUGCACAGUUUGAAAAUGAUGAACGAAUUACACCCUUGGAAUCAGCCCUGAUGAUUUGGGGUUCAAUUGAAAAGGAACAUGACGAACUUCAUGAAGAAAUACAGAAUUUAAUUAAAAUUCAGGCUAUAGCUGUUUGUAUGGAAAAUGGCAACUUUAAAGAAGCAGAAGAAGUCUUUGAAAGAAUAUUUGGUGAUCCAAAUUCUUAUAUGCCUUUCAAAAGCAAAUUGCUUAUGAUAAUCUCUCAGAAAGGUACAUUUCAUUCUUUUUUUCAACACUUCAGCUACAACCACAUGAUGGAGAAAAUUAAGAGUUAUGUGAAUUAUGUGCUAAGUGAAAAAUCAUCAACCUUUCUAAUGAAGGCAGCGGCAAAAGUGGUAGAAAGCAAAAGGACAAGAACAAUAACUUCUCAAGAUAAACCUAAUGGUAAUGAUGUUGAAAUGGAAACUGAAGCUAAUUUGGAUACAAGAAAAAGGUCUCACAAGAAUCUUUUCUUAUCUAAGUUGCAACAUGGAACCCAGCAACGAGACCUUAAUAAGAAAGAAAGAAGAGUAGGAACUCUUCAAAGUGCAAAAAAGAAAAAAAGAAAGCAGAAGAGCCACUGAAAGCAGAAUACCUGUUUCAAAGAGUCAACCAGUAACUCCUGAAAAACAUCGAGCUAGAAAAAGACAGGCAUCGCUUUGGGAAGAAGACAAGAAUUUGAGAUCUGGCAUGAGGAAAUAUGGAGAGGGAAACUGGUCUAAAAUACUGUUGCAUUAUAAAUUCAACAACCGGACAAGUGUCAUGUUAAAAGACAGAUGGAGGACCAUGAAGAAACUAAAACUGAUUUGCUCAGACAGCGAAGACUGAUUGGGUUUGUAAAAGCUUGAUGAAAGGACAGUUAAGUAUUUUGAUCACUGCAUUUUGUUUGAAACUUGUGUCAUUGAUGUAAUUUAAAACUUUUGUUUAAAGCAUUACAGUAUUUUUCUGUGACCAUCAAUUAAUAUGAGGGUUUGUGCUAUAAGAGUUAAAGCAUAUGCUAUCAUUGUAUUCUUUAAGAACCUUAUUUUGAUAAAAUGUAAAUUUGUUGAACCCUGCCACAUUUAGUAUCCCCACCCCCAAAUCCUGUUCCAAUGAAAAAAUUAAAACCUGAUA